AUGCCAUGUGAAAAUGGUUUCAGGAGAGACACAAAGAUAUGCGAUAUGGAUGUGAUUCUUGGGAAUAGAAGGCAGCUGAGUCCUUCAGUGCAAAAGCUGGAGAAUAUUCUGCUUCUGAUGGGGGACAGCCAGAGUGAGAUUGCACCAGCUGUCAGCUUAAGUCCUACCAAAGGCACCUUGAAAAAGCUCCAUCAACACUUCCAUGCUACUGAGAGGGACAGAGUACAGAAGAUCCAUUCCUACCUCCUGCUCCAGCCUUCCUGCUCCCUCCAGACAGUACAUUCCAUGGAGACUCUGGAACAAACUUCCCCAUUCAGGAGACUGCUGGUUGCUUAUGUGAAGCCCCAUCAUCACCAAGCAAAGACAGAUAGAUACUGCUAA
RNAcentral lists this long non-coding RNA (381 nucleotides) under Coturnix japonica (Japanese quail). RNAcentral describes it as "lncRNA (ENSCJPG00005013404.1)". Lineage: Eukaryota; Metazoa; Chordata; Aves; Galliformes; Phasianidae. The record is from RNAcentral.